AAAAUUUGAAUUGAACAUAUUUUUGUAGACAUACAAAAAUGGUCUGCAUUUUUUACAUCGCCCUGGCAUCCAAUUCAAACUAUAUUUUCUGCUUAAACUGUUGCGUACCCAUGAGAUCAUGGGAUAACUCAGACAUGAGCCGGUGUCCAGUGCGCAGUUGGGUGCAUUAUUUGGUGACAUCCAAUGCUAACUGAUUUUUCAAGGCCACCCAGUGGAGUGAGGGUGAGUAGUGUGGCAUCAGCCUACCGUUUAUUUAGCUGGUUCUAGGAUCUCCUUUGUUGCUGCAUCUUGAUCUCCUGCUUUGCUGUAACUAUGUUCUGCUGCUUGAUUUUUGCUUCCUUUCUUUCUAGCUACAUGCUUAUUCUUUCUAGCCACAUGCAUGUUUUCCUUUUGCUGUGGGAAAUAGUUCAGUUAUAUUUAUCAGUAGCAUCUCUAUGUUUAUAGAUACAUACUAGGAACGUGCUUAUUUAGUGUGGCCUUCUCUUUUUUAUGCAAGAAGUGUGCCUUAUCUAAUCUGACAAUCAUCUUAUUUGUUGUUCUAAAUAAUUACUGCAGGAUGGAGCAGCAGGCAUAGAUGAAAUCUACUGCCAAUUUCUAUUGGUUGCGGCAUCUUCCGCUGAGUAACUCUACAAAACAGCCCGCUAGCAUUGAUUCUUGCAAUAAAAAAAGUCUGGCAUCAUUCAUAAAAAGCUUAUAGACAUAGAUAAUUUCUUAAUCCUGCACUGCUUCUCACCAGUGAGAUUGUAGAUGUGGUAUUUUGAGAAUACCAGUGUAAUUCACUGGUCCAAAAGCUCCAUUUCUUAAUGUGUUUUUGCAGAAUGCUACCAGUAAUGUUUUUCUUUUCCUUAAUGUACAAACAUAUCUACUAGAUAUGAUUUUGGAUCUGAACUUUUCCCUGUCUGCAGCUCACAUUGUGGUAUGGUCAUGGUACAGCAAAAGGAAAAGAUGUUUAAACUUUUUUUGGGCGUCAUACAUGAAAAGUACCUUUAUUUCCAUCGAGCUUAAUUACUAAGAAAAUGUUACCACUAUUUCCUUACUAAUAAACCUAAAUGUUCUGAAAGUUCGGUCUCUUGCUCUCUUUGCUUAUGAAUCGGACACUUUCCCUUUCUUUAGUCCUUACACGGUUCCACCUCGCUUUGACGUCAUACUUUGAUGGUGUUUGUAGGUAUGAAGACUUGAAGAGUGGUCAUAAUGUUACUUAAAGGAGGCCUCAACUUGCACCAAAUACAUGGGCAUGUGCAACAGCAACUUAUGUAGGUGAGUAGGUAUUUAUGCUUAGUUUUGACUUGAGUACAAAAAAGAGCUUGCUGACAUAUACAAGAGAAUAGGCUACCCAUUCUUGAAUUGAAUCAGAUUGGUAGACUAAACCACUGUGGUGUACUCUUCGCUGCUGAGUUAUUACAAUCCAACUGAAAAUAAGGGGAAAACAAACAUGAUCCUGCCAUUUAAAUUAUCUCAUGUUUGUGGAGAAAAGUUGCAUAGUUAGCUAUUGCAAAAUACUAUCAACCCAGUUUUUGUUCAAUAGACGUCCCUUCUUCAAAUGUAGCUUGAACCUGCGCAAGGGCAUGGUAGCAUGCUCAUUCUAUUUUUUUUACUAAGGUGGUUACACUUCCCUACUUUUUGCUAAAAGAGAGUCAAUUUUGUCAUGAGCUAUUGCGGCGUUUCUGUUUACUGAAUUUCGUUUUGCAGUUCCCUUCUCUUGAAUGUUUAUUCAAAUGUGCCUAAUGUUUUUUUAGGUUUCUAAAAACUAAUAAAUGCUGCUCUCAAAUCAGUUAGGAGGCUGAAGGUAGUAGCUUACUGAACUCUCAUUUCCGGAAAAAUUUGGAGAUGUCUUGGUAUGGAGUUUCAUGAUCAACUUGCUCUGGCAUAGUUAGUCUUUCUAGACUAAUUGUUUGUCAGUAUCUAUUCUAUACAUGUGUUUGAUUGGUUGUGCAAACAUGCAUGCAUUGUUCUGUGUGGAAAUUGCUUUAUCCGGUCUGUUCUAUAGCAAUGUUUCCAGUGGCUGUUUAGCACAUAUAUUUAGAUAGUUGCAUACGCAUGCUUGUUUCUGCCAGAAAAUUAUCUUACCUGAUAUGUUUUCAGAUGCUAUUUGGUAUACAUGUUUGUCUUUGUCAUGUUUAUGUUGAGUUGUGGGUUCCAAAGGUAUUUAUGAUGAUCGUUUGCAUGGUGGGUCAUGUCAGCGAUGUGCAUUGCAUAUUCAUGAUUCAAACUCUUUGUUGGGUAUAGAUCUAUAUGAAGUUGUUUUUGAAUGGCCCAUGAUUCGUUUUUUAUUAGUAUUUUAGUUUAAGCAUUUCUCCAGAGAAUCUUGAUAUCCAGCUGUAUAUAUAUCCAGUCAUGUUUUUUUACUCUGACCAAUUUCUUUUUUUGUUUUACAGUUUGUACAAUCUCUAAAGAUGGUGCUCCAUUGUUNNN
Molecule: long non-coding RNA, 2412 nt
Filed under: Triticum aestivum (bread wheat)
Lineage: Eukaryota; Viridiplantae; Streptophyta; Magnoliopsida; Poales; Poaceae
Description: long non-coding RNA (TAES_LNC001553)
Source: RNAcentral